CGAACCGACUUACGUUGAAAAGUGAGCGGAUGAACUGAGGGUAGCGGAGAAAUUCCAAUCGAACUUGGAGAUAGCUGGUUCUCUCCGAAAUAGCUUUAGGGCUAGCCUCAAGUGAUGAUUAUUGGAGGUAGAGCACUGUUUGGACGAGGGGCCCCUCUCGGGUUACCGAAUUCAGACAAACUCCGAAUGCCAAAUAAUUUAACUUGGGAGUCAGAAUGUGGGUGAUAAGGUCCAUAUUCGAAAGGGAAACAGCCCAGACCACCAGCUAAGGUCCCAAAAUAUAUGUUAAGUGGAAAAGGAUGUGGCGUUGCCCAGACAACUAGGAUGUUGGCUUAGAAGCAGCCAUCAUUUAAAGAGUGCGUAAUAGCUCACUAGUCGAGUGACACUGCGCCGAAAAUGUACCGGGGCUAAACAUAUUACCGAAGCUGUGGAUUGUCCUUUGGACAAUGGUAGGAGAGCGUUCUAAGGGCGUUGAAGCAUGAUCGCAAGGACAUGUGGAGCGCUUAGAAGUGAGAAUGCCGGUGUGAGUA
This 530-nucleotide ribosomal RNA is filed under the name Staphylococcus pseudintermedius. RNAcentral describes it as "partial 23S ribosomal RNA". It matches the Rfam family "Bacterial large subunit ribosomal RNA", at positions 775 to 1308 of the family's 2925-position model. The record is from RNAcentral. Lineage: Bacteria; Bacillati; Bacillota; Bacilli; Caryophanales; Staphylococcaceae.